GUUUUUUUAACAGUGUGGAGAAGGACGUUUUGCCAGAGAGUGUCCGCAUGUUGGUGGGGGCGGUGGCAGUGGUCCGUUGACGUCACAAAUAUGGGGAAGGGGGACAUUUCUCGAAGGAUUGUCCACAAGGGGGCCGUGGCGGUGGAGGAAGUCGUACGUGCCAUGAGAAGAUGGCCAUGUAGCAAGGGAUUUUCCACAAGGAGGUGGCAUUGGUGGCAGCAAGUGUUACAAUUGUCAUUAAGUUGGCCACACCUCGAAAAGGCUGCUAGAAUCUAUUCAUUGCAUUGACGGAAGAUGGAAAGCAGUGUGAACAAUACAUUCCGUAAGCUGGGACAUGCGAUGAGAAGGAACUGAUUGAGGGCAUUGUCUGUAGGGAAUGCUUUAAUAAUUUUGAUAAAGUCGUCCUCCAGGUUACAGGGAAAGAUGUACCUCAAUACAUAACAUCAUGCAAAGAAGCCAGCCUGUGCCCACUACUACUUCAAAACAUUAAGAGUUCUGGCUACAUAAAACCAACACCUGUACAGAAAGCUUCAGUUACAGUUAUUCUUGCCAAAAGAGAUUUAAUUGCUUGUGCUGUUACGGGCUCCGGCAAAACGGUAAUCCAAUUAGUUAACGCUGUGUAAUUUUGAAACCUUGAUGCCCUCGUACUGACUUGAUUCGAAUGGGUCGGUAUGAACUGGGUAAGUUGAAGUAAAAGUAAUUUUGAGUGGGCACGCCGGUGAUUGCGACUACUAAAAGGUCCAAUUGCAUCUAAGAUACUCAACAAACCCUUUGAUAUUUGUUGGUUAAGUCAUCUAAAAUUUUACAUUUUUUCAUGUAGGCGGCGUACU
Daphnia carinata is the source of this 830-nucleotide long non-coding RNA. RefSeq lists it as uncharacterized. The transcript has 5 exons. The record is from RefSeq and is a predicted model, not a curated record. NCBI's taxonomy places the organism in Eukaryota, Metazoa, Arthropoda, Branchiopoda, Diplostraca, Daphniidae.